AAUAAUAAUUAAAAAAAAAAAACUCCAAAAUUUGUUUGAAUUGAACCUCAAUCAAACUCUGAAAAAACCCAUUCUCAAAUUGAAGCCCUAGCAUCUAGUGAGGGGUGUCCCAAGCUCGACAUUACUUAUGGUUGACUCGCAGUCUGCUAUCCCUCCUUUCAUCUUCUCCAAAUUUCUCACCAUAGUCUAUUUGGACAAUGCAAGGGAUGCACUUGCCCCUCUCCAUUUGGACUUGAUCAAUCUUAUCAUUGGCAAUGAUAUCUUCAAUGAUCUAAUUUCUGCUUCACAACUUCUUCCUUUCAUUAAUGCCCUUGUCACCAAGCUCAUCGAUGCACCUAUCUGACCUACCACACUAUAUUCAUCUUUUUAGGAAGACUUAUGGAGGCACUUGGAGGUAGGUGACUUGGCAAGUUGUGGGGAGGGCAGUGAGGGGUGGUUUAAAAGAUUUUCAAAUGGAGAGGAUGGACAGAAG
This 472-nucleotide unclassified non-coding RNA is filed under the name Hevea brasiliensis (rubber tree). Lineage: Eukaryota; Viridiplantae; Streptophyta; Magnoliopsida; Malpighiales; Euphorbiaceae. The record is from RNAcentral.